GAUGAACGCUGGCGGCGUGCCUAAUACAUGCAAGUCGAGCGAACAGACGAGGAGCUUGCUCCUCUGACGUUAGCGGCGGACGGGUGAGUAACACGUGGAUAACCUACCUAUAAGACUGGGAUAACUUCGGGAAACCGGAGCUAAUACCGGAUAAUAUAUUGAACCGCAUGGUUCAAUAGUGAAAGACGGUUUUGCUGUCACUUAUAGAUGGAUCCGCGCCGCAUUAGCUAGUUGGUAAGGUAACGGCUUACCAAGGCAACGAUGCGUAGCCGACCUGAGAGGGUGAUCGGCCACACUGGAACUGAGACACGGUCCAGACUCCUACGGGAGGCAGCAGUUGGGAAUCUUCCGCAAAGGGCGAAAGCUUGACGGAGCAACGCCGCGUGAGUGAUGAAGGUCUUCGGAUCGUAAAACUCUGUUAUUAGGGAAGAACAAAUGUGUAAGUAACUAUGCACGUCUUGACGGUACCUAAUCAGAAAGCCACGGCUAACUACGUG
Molecule: ribosomal RNA, 497 nt
Filed under: uncultured bacterium
Lineage: Bacteria
Description: partial 16S ribosomal RNA
Rfam family: Bacterial small subunit ribosomal RNA
Source: RNAcentral